CCAGCAACAAGCACCAUUUUUUCAUUAACAGCCUGUAAAAAUUGUCAAGCAAAACACAACGUUGCCUUACAGAUUUUUUUAUUAAUCAAAAUCAAAAGAAAAUUAAAAAACCACACAUAAAACAUUGAAACGGAACAGAAACAACAAAAUAAACGCACAACAAGCAUAUUCCAGCGCAGAAAACACACUUAAACAAGCAUAAAGAUGGAGAAUAACGAGGCGCCCGCACCUUCCGGUUCGAACAACAAUGAUUUUCCCAUACUUCCGCCGCCGCCAAAUGCCUCGUCAUCCAACUACAACUACAACAACGACUCGGCCAACAGCAACAACAAUGCGGCACAGAAACGCCUGCAGCAGACACAGGCCAAAGUGGACGAAGUGGUGGGCAUAAUGCGCGUCAAUGUCGAGAAGGUGCUCGAACGUGAUCAGAAAUUAUCGGAGCUGGGCGAGCGAGCCGAUCAGCUGGAACAGGGCGCCUCACAGUUCGAACAGCAGGCAUGCAAACUAAAGCGCAAGCAAUGGUGGGCCAACAUGAAGAUGAUGAUCAUUCUGGGCGUCAUUGCCGUCGUCUUGCUCAUCAUCAUAAUAGUGUCGAUUUACAAUUGAUAAACAAAAGAAAAAGAAAAAGAAAAAGUAAAAAGUAUAAGAAAAACAUAUGCAGCAGGGCAACUUGUUGCGCUUACCCAAUACAUACGCAUAACUCUAAGGCAGCUAUCAACAUCAACACAUACAUAUACACAUACAGCUGUGUGUGUGUGUAGAAAGAACAAAAUUUUAGUUUAAGCAAAAAGUGUGUGCUUUGCCCUCGGGCAGCAGCGGCAGCGAUCAUGCUGCAAAAUCCGUUACCGAGGCGCCCCAUUAGAUGGAGUCGCC
This is an RNA transcript of Drosophila hydei, 873 nucleotides long. It is a transcript of the gene named synaptobrevin, with no coding region annotated. The transcript is spliced from 5 exons. NCBI's taxonomy places the organism in Eukaryota, Metazoa, Arthropoda, Insecta, Diptera, Drosophilidae. The record is from RefSeq and is a predicted model, not a curated record.